CCGGCGGGGGCUCGGAGGCCCGGAGCGCAUGGCGGGGACCCGGCGGCGCCAGCUUCCCCCGGCGCGCAGAGCCGGGAGGCGCGGACGAGGGGACCCCAGUCUUCUCUCCAGGUCCUUCUGAUUCAAACCCUUGCCACUCUACACCCAUCCCGGAGGGGCCAGAAGAGUGCCCCAGCUGAAGCCUUGCCCAAGACCUGCUUUGUUCAGUCUGUAAUGGUGGCCCACCUUGGAGUAGACCCUGACACCGCCUGGGCCACAGAGAACCACGUUCCUGGGAGAGGAUUCCAGAACCUUCCACAGGGGAGGAGUGAGCUUCUGGAGAUUGGGUCCUUGUGCUUUCUCCUGAAGACAUUGGACAGCAUCUCAGGUUUUCACCAGGGGCCAGUAGAAGGGCUCCCUGGGAGCAGGUUGAGGACAUGUGGAGAGAAGUGACAGGUAGGGAGGCCAGUUGUGCUGUAAGGAAAACCAGUGCAGGGAGGGCUGUCAACGCCGAGAGGGAGAAUGAAUGCAAGAAGCCAGAGGCAUCAGCACAGCCUGGCGGCAGGCACAGGCAGGGUUCAGGAGUCGGGCUCAGGUGCCUCCAGGUGAGGUGGACGCACAGAGGGGAUGGCCUCCAUAGCAGCACAUUUCCUCCUUUUAUGCACCGUUGCAUUUUCAGUUCUCUGUCAAUUUGGGAAGGAAAUGAUUUAAAAACACGUUUCCCAGCCAGAGUCAAUGGAACUGAGAUCCCCUGGGACCCUACCCCAGGCAGGGCAGGCCUCUGCAGUCUGAGCACCAGAGUGGGGUACUUUAAUAUACCUUAAAGGGCAGCAGGAAAGAAAGUGGGGUCCAGGCAGUAUGCCCUUGGCUUGUGCAGUGAGGAUUUGUGGUCAGUGGAGGCAGUAGCAGCUCUGCCAUAUUGAAUGCAGCCCAACAUGGGAACCACAUACCACAUGGAGUUCCAGAGGUGUUUUUUAAUUCCUCCCCUUCAGACUCCUACACAUAUGGUCAGGAUCUUUUCUGUUUUGUUUUUCAAAGGAUUGACCUUAAGAAACAUCGCCCUCUCCUCCGGUUACUCAAGAGGCAGGGAAAUUGCAAGUUCAAGGCCAGCUUGGGCAACUUAGCAAGAAUGUCUUAAAAUUUAAAAAAUGGAAAUGGCUGGGUUCAAUCCCCAGCCCUGCGAAUUAAUUCUACUAAUAGUGACCGUUCGUGGCUUCCUGUUUUCAUCCAGCGUUGUUCUCUCAAUCAGCACAGCCAUUCUCUGUCCUCCGAGGUGGGCGUCAUUCCUUGUCUACAGAAGCCAGGCUCAAAGAGUUAAACAGCUGGCCCCAGACCACCCAGCUGCUGAGGGGCAGAAAGGGAGGUCUGGGCCUGCCUCCAGCUUCCUGUUCCGCCUCUGCAGAGCCUCACAAGGAUGGCUCGGGAAGAGUGACCAGCGGCAGCAGAGGACAGGCGUGUGCUGAUGGUGUUCUGGUUGUUUGGGUCUUUUCACAUGAUGUGUCCCAGACAAGGUGUAAGCCAACAGCGAAGGUCCUCAGCUCGAAGGAGUGUGAAAACAAGGAGGAAGAGUAGAGUCAGGACUGCCCAGACUCCGGGAGGCAACGGAAGCACGGACCCUUCCUUGUGCAUUGAGGACCUGGUGACUUCUCAAUUUGGAUUCAGCUUCAUGAAAGGGGCCAUGAAGUGUGGUUCCUGGACCUGGGACACUGAAGCAGGGUCAGGCAGGUGGCCUUGGGUUACUAAGGGACCCUGUGUACAUCCUAAAUGUGACAGCGGGUGACUGGAGAUCUCCGCUGCUCUGCCUGCAGGUCUAGCCACACUUGUGACCUGGUAUACUGCAGUGCUGGUUGACAUUCUGCUCUUGGCCAAAACGUCUUUACCAUUCUCUAAAGGGACGACAGAUGUUCAGCCUCCUCUUGGAGUUGUGCCCUCACUUCUGUGACAGUCAGGUUCAUGACAGUUGGGUGCCAUGCUCCCCACCCAUGAGUCAUCCCAUAUGCAACAGCCUCUUCCAUGCCCAGCUUGAAUUCUGCUUCAAUUCUGUGUGAAUUAAGCUCCUAGUCCCACCACGCUGGCCAUGAGCAACACUGUGGUGGAGAAAGCACGUAAGAACCUUAGGAGCAGCAGGGUACAGACAGCUCCAGUAGCAAGAAGUCAAAUAGUCCAAAAAUGUUUGUGCUCCCCCAAAUGUCACUCAUCCAUUGCCAGGUAGAUUCCACAGCUGAGGGCAUGACCCAGUACUUGGCUUCUGCAGAUGACAUUUUCCAAAUGAAAGCCUCAGAGUCACCAUGGAUUUUCUUUACAGAUACCUCUGCACCUUCAGGAGACUUGCAGGUUGCCUGGCAACCAGAGGAGGCCGGUCACGACUAGAUGCUUCAGCACCCAGCUUAGGCCACUGGCCUGGCAGACUCCCCUGAGAGCCGUGCCUGUGUCCACAGGCUGCAUCAUCAGGCAUAGAGACUUGGAGUAGCCCCAAAUGGCACCUGUCCGUCUUCUAGUCAAAAGAAGGGCAGAACAGCUGAGUUUCAGCUGUCAGUACACUUUGGACAGCUUCUUCUGGGCCUGUUGCCACAGAGAUUCUAGGGUAGGUCCGGGUUUCCUGCCAAGCCAAGCGCACAGGCUCCUGCUGUGAGAAGGCGGAUGACAAGGGGCGGGGGCUGCGGUGCUCACCCAGCCCUCCCAGCUGUGGGCUGCUUCUCUCUUCCCUCCCUCAUCUUACUCCAAGGCAUGGUCUCCUCCCUGUCCUCGCCACCACCCCUAGCUCCUCAUGCUGUGCUUACAAUGGGAACCUCCUCUCCACCCCAAGCAAUGCCUGUGCCUCUCUCUGGCACCACCUGACCCCAUGCUGAGGGCCCUUGGGGUCCCUGCCUAUGCUCCACUCCACAGGUGUUGUGCCUGUCUGAAGGUCAAGCCUCCCUGGGACCCGUGUGCUGCGGCCUCUCCUCCCACAUCUUUGCACAGUCCUGUUCAUGGGGUGCCUCUGGGCCUGACGCAGUGCAUGGUCUCUGGUCAGUGCCAAGUCAGCCUUUGGCCUGUGGAAUUGAAGUAGGACCUGUACCUUCCACCAAGCUACUGUCUGCGAUUCCGGGCCCCCAAAAGAUGAACCUGGGCUGCCUGCAAGGUUGGGCAAGCUCAGAAGAAUCAGCCCUUUCCCCAUCCUGUUCCCAGCAUGCACCCAGAGAUUGGGCUUUCCUUACGGCUGGUCACACAGAUGUCGACAUGGUGCUCAGAGCCUCAGAGCACAGGUGAGCCGAUGUCAGUAACAGCAGUGGAGCCUCCUAGCUGUGCUGGUGCGUCCAAGUGUCAUCCCAUUGACUCUUAACUAUCUUGAAAAAGAUACUAUUCCCAUCCCACACAUAAAUAAAUAAAUGAUAAAUAAAACUA
This is a non-coding RNA of Ictidomys tridecemlineatus (thirteen-lined ground squirrel), 3363 nucleotides long. The record is from RefSeq and is a predicted model, not a curated record. NCBI's taxonomy places the organism in Eukaryota, Metazoa, Chordata, Mammalia, Rodentia, Sciuridae.